This 72-nucleotide transfer RNA is filed under the name Camelus bactrianus (Bactrian camel). It matches the Rfam family "tRNA". From Rfam's summary of the family: Transfer RNA (tRNA) molecules are approximately 80 nucleotides in length. Their secondary structure includes four short double-helical elements and three loops (D, anti-codon, and T loops). The record is from Rfam by way of RNAcentral. Lineage: Eukaryota; Metazoa; Chordata; Mammalia; Artiodactyla; Camelidae. RNAcentral also lists the same sequence under 2 other names.
GGGGUAAUAGCUCUGUAGUAGAAUGUAUGCUUAACAUGCACAAGGUCCUGGGUUCAAUCCCCAGUACCUCCA